UGGGGAAUUUUGGACAAUGGGCGAAAGCCUGAUCCAGCAAUGCCGCGUGUGUGAAGAAGGCCUUCGGGUUGUAAAGCACUUUUGUCCGGAAAGAAAUCCUUGGCUCUAAUACAGUCGGGGGAUGACGGUACCGGAAGAAUAAGCACCGGCUAACUACGUGCCAGCAGCCGCGGUAAUACGUAAGGUGCAAGCGUUAAUCGGAAUUACUGGGCGUAAAGCGUGCGCAGGCGGUUUGCUAAGACCGAUGUGAAAUCCCCGGGCUCAACCUGGGAACUGCAUUGGUGACUGGCAGGCUAGAGUAUGGCAGAGGGGGGUAGAAUUCCACGUGUAGCAGUGAAAUGCGUAGAGAUGUGGAGGAAUACCGAUGGCGAAGGCAGCCCCCUGGGCCAAUACUGACGCUCAUGCACGAAAGCGUGGGGAGCAAACAGGAUUAGAUACCCUGGUAGUCCACGCCCUAAACGAUGUCAACUAGUUGUUGGGGAUUCAUUUCCUUAGUAACGUAGCUAACGCGUGAAGUUGACCGCCUGGGGAGUACGGUCGCAAGAUUAAAACUCAAAGGAAUUGACGGGGUCAUAGCUGUUUCCU
This 585-nucleotide ribosomal RNA is filed under the name uncultured bacterium. Its description in RNAcentral is "partial 16S ribosomal RNA". It matches the Rfam family "Bacterial small subunit ribosomal RNA", at positions 355 to 1375 of the family's 1533-position model. The record is from RNAcentral.